GGGAGCUGAUCACAGAGAUACAGGAAAGACAGGAGGUCUAAGUUUAACCUAAGUGCCGUGUUGCUGAUGAACAUCUUUAUAUGCAAAACCGGAGAACCCAGAGAAAACCCACCAAACGCAGAGAGAAUUUGCAAACUACACACAGAAAUGCCUGCUGAUCCAGCUGCGGCUCGAGUCAGCAUCCUUGCUUAUUGGAUGCCUGAUUGCAGUUCAACUCCAAACUCAGUUGGACCAGCUGAUCAGUGUCUU
This is a non-coding RNA of Danio rerio (zebrafish), 249 nucleotides long. The record is from RefSeq and is a predicted model, not a curated record. NCBI's taxonomy places the organism in Eukaryota, Metazoa, Chordata, Actinopteri, Cypriniformes, Danionidae.